This 391-nucleotide unclassified non-coding RNA is filed under the name soil metagenome. RNAcentral describes it as "partial contains 5.8S ribosomal RNA, internal transcribed spacer 2, and large subunit ribosomal RNA". The stretch from base 1 to 122 matches the Rfam family "5.8S ribosomal RNA", at positions 35 to 154 of the family's 154-position model. The record is from RNAcentral.
GAUGAAGAACGUAGCGAAAUGCGAUACUUGGUGUGAAUUGCAGAAUCCCGUGAACCAUCGAGUCUUUGAACGCAAGUUGCGCCCGAAGCCAUUAGGCCGAGGGCACGCCUGCCUGGGCGUCACACGUCGUUGCCCCCCCCAUCUACUCCUUCGGGAUUGCGGGGGCGGAUGAUGGCCUCCCGUGCGCCUCGCCGCGCGGUUGGCAUAAAUGCCAAGUCCUCGGCGACGCACGCCACGACAAUCGGUGGUUGCGAAACCUCGGUUGCCCGUCGUGUGCGGUCGUCGCGCAUCGAGGGCUCGAAAAAAUUGCCGAGUUCCGGCUCGGCUUUCAACGCGACCCCAGGUCAGGCGGGGUUACCAGCUGAAUUUAAGCAUAUCAAUAAGCGGAGGA